This 256-nucleotide ribosomal RNA is filed under the name uncultured bacterium. RNAcentral's name for it is "partial 16S ribosomal RNA". It matches the Rfam family "Bacterial small subunit ribosomal RNA", at positions 96 to 353 of the family's 1533-position model. The record is from RNAcentral.
UGGCGGAUGGGUGAGUAAUGUCUGGGAAACUGCCUGAUGGAGGGGGAUAACUACUGGAAACGGUAGCUAAUACCGCAUAACGUCGCAAGACCAAAGAGGGGGACCUUCGGGCCUCUUGCCAUCGGAUGUGCCCAGAUGGGAUUAGCUAGUAGGUGGGGUAACGGCUCACCUAGGCGACGAUCCCUAGCUGGUCUGAGAGGAUGACCAGCCACACUGGAACUGAGACACGGUCCAGACUCCUACGGGAGGCAGCAUG